Molecule: microRNA, 22 nt
Filed under: Mus musculus (house mouse)
Lineage: Eukaryota; Metazoa; Chordata; Mammalia; Rodentia; Muridae
Description: mmu-miR-467c-5p
Gene: mmu-miR-467c-5p
Source: miRBase by way of RNAcentral
UAAGUGCGUGCAUGUAUAUGUG